AAAUUGAAGAGUUUGAUCAUGGCUCAGAUUGAACGCUGGCGGCAGGCCUAACACAUGCAAGUCGAACGGUAACAGGAAGCAGCUUGCUGCUUUGCUGACGAGUGGCGGACGGGUGAGUAAUGUCUGGGAAACUGCCUGAUGGAGGGGGAUAACUACUGGAAACGGUGGCUAAUACCGCAUAACGUCGCAAGACCAAAGAGGGGGACCUUCGGGCCUCUUGCCAUCAGAUGUGCCCAGAUGGGAUUAGCUUGUUGGUGAGGUAACGGCUCACCAAGGCGACGAUCCCUAGCUGGUCUGAGAGGAUGACCAGCCACACUGGAAC
RNAcentral lists this ribosomal RNA (322 nucleotides) under Salmonella enterica. RNAcentral's name for it is "bacterial SSU rRNA". It matches the Rfam family "Bacterial small subunit ribosomal RNA", at positions 1 to 319 of the family's 1533-position model. The record is from RNAcentral. RNAcentral also lists the same sequence under 5 other names. Lineage: Bacteria; Pseudomonadati; Pseudomonadota; Gammaproteobacteria; Enterobacterales; Enterobacteriaceae.